UUUCGCCGCACAAUCCAGAAGAAUCU
Molecule: non-coding RNA, 26 nt
Filed under: Mus musculus (house mouse)
Lineage: Eukaryota; Metazoa; Chordata; Mammalia; Rodentia; Muridae
Source: RNAcentral